Molecule: small RNA, 308 nt
Filed under: Histoplasma capsulatum var. duboisii H88
Lineage: Eukaryota; Fungi; Ascomycota; Eurotiomycetes; Onygenales; Ajellomycetaceae
Description: Histoplasma capsulatum H88 hypothetical RNA
Source: RNAcentral
AAAGUGAGAAUAAAAGAGAAUGAUAAUAAAAGUAACAAUAAAAGUAAAAUUAAAAAUAAAAAUAAGAGUAAGUGAGAAUGAGAAUGAAAAUAAAAAAAAAUGAGAAUGAAAAUAAAAAUAAAAGUGAGAAUAAGAGUAAAAAUAAGAAUAAGAGUGAGAAUAAGAGAGAAUGAUAAUGAGAGUAAUAAUAAGAGUAAAAAUAAAAAUGAAAAUAAGAGUAAGAAAGAAUGAGAAUGAAAGUGAGAAUAAAAAGUGAGAAUGAAAAUAAAAAUAAAAAUAAGAAUAAGAGUAAAAAUAAGAAUAAGAGU